ACACAUGCAAGUCGAACGGAAUUUACAUGAAGCCUAGCGAUUGUAAAUUUAGUGGCGGACGGGUGAGUAACGCGUGGGUAACCUGCCUUGUACUGGGGGACAACAGUUGGAAACGACUGCUAAUACCGCAUAAGCGCACAGCUUCGCAUGAAGCAGUGUGAAAAACUCCGGUGGUACAAGAUGGACCCGCGUCUGAUUAGCUGGUUGGUGAGGUAACGGCCCACCAAGGCGACGAUCAGUAGCCGGCCUGAGAGGGUGAACGGCCACAUUGGGACUGAGACACGGCCCAAACUCCUACGGGAGGCAGCAGUGGGGAAUAUUGCACAAUGGGGGAAACCCUGAUGCAGCAACGCCGCGUGAGUGAAGAAGUAUUUCGGUAUGUAAAGCUCUAUCAGCAGGAAAGAAAAUGACGGUACCUGACUAAGAAGCCCCGGCUAACUACGUGCCAGCAGCCGCGGUAAUACGUAGGGGGCAAGCGUUAUCCGGAUUUACUGGGUGUAAAGGGAGCGUAGACGGUUUUGCAAGUCUGAAGUGAAAGCCCGGGGCUUAACCCCGGGACUGCUUUGGAAACUGUAGGACUAGAGUGCAGGAGAGGUAAGUGGAAUUCCUAGUGUAGCGGUGAAAUGCGUAGAUAUUAGGAGGAACACCAGUGGCGAAGGCGGCUUACUGGACUGUAACUGACGUUGAGGCUCGAAAGCGUGGGGAGCAAACAGGAUUAGAUACCCUGGUAGUCCACGCCGUAAACGAUGAUUACUAGGUGUUGGUGGGUACGACCCAUCGGUGCCGCAGCAAACGCAAUAAGUAAUCCACCUGGGG
Molecule: ribosomal RNA, 816 nt
Filed under: uncultured bacterium
Lineage: Bacteria
Description: bacterial SSU rRNA
Rfam family: Bacterial small subunit ribosomal RNA
Source: RNAcentral